GCCAGAGGAACCCGUCUCUGGCGCUCUUUAAGGUGAGAAUCCUUAACAAUCCUGUGGGGCUUAUAUCUUGUGUUUAUAGUAGUGGUGUCACGAGUAUUAGUGCAGACGUUAAAAUCAGGA
RNAcentral lists this non-coding RNA (120 nucleotides) under unclassified sequences. The record is from RNAcentral.